GCAGGUAUAGUAUAAUGGUUAUUAUGUCUGGCUUCCAACCAGAAUAUGAGGUUUCGAUUACCUCUACCUGCU
This 72-nucleotide transfer RNA is filed under the name Crassvirales sp. RNAcentral's name for it is "tRNA-Gly". It matches the Rfam family "tRNA". Rfam says of the family: Transfer RNA (tRNA) molecules are approximately 80 nucleotides in length. Their secondary structure includes four short double-helical elements and three loops (D, anti-codon, and T loops). The record is from RNAcentral. Lineage: Duplodnaviria; Heunggongvirae; Uroviricota; Caudoviricetes; Crassvirales.